Molecule: ribosomal RNA, 489 nt
Filed under: uncultured bacterium
Lineage: Bacteria
Description: bacterial SSU rRNA
Rfam family: Bacterial small subunit ribosomal RNA
Source: RNAcentral
AUUGAACGCUGGCGGAAUGCUUUACACAUGCAAGUCGAGCGGCAGCGCGGGGGCAACCCUGGCGGCGAGCGGCGAACGGGUGAGUAAUGUAUCGGAACGUACCCAGUCGUGGGGGAUAACUAUCCGAAAGGAUAGCUAAUACCGCAUACGACCUGAGGGUGAAAGCGGGGGACCGUAAGGCCUCGCGCGAUUGGAGCGGCCGAUAUCGGAUUAGCUAGUUGGUGAGGUAAAGGCUCACCAAGGCGACGAUCCGUAGCUGGUCUGAGAGGACGACCAGCCACACUGGAACUGAGACACGGUCCAGACUCCUACGGGAGGCAGCAGUGGGGAAUUUUGGACAAUGGGGGGCAACCCUGAUCCAGCCAUUCCGCGUGAGUGAAGAAGGCCUUCGGUUGUAAAGCUCUUUCUAGCAGGAACGAAACGGACUCUCUCUAACAUAGGGAGUUAAUGACGGUACCUGAAGAAGAAGCACCGGCUAACUACGUGCCA